AUAUAAAGAUUUAUUUAAUUUAGAUUUAAAAUUGUUUUUAAAAUAAAAAAAUUAAUUUUUAGUAUUAUUAUGAAAAAUAUUAUUUAAUUAUAGUGAAUUAGUAUUGUGAAAGAAUAUUUUUUAAUGUAAAAAAGAAUAAUUUAUUUUUAGUACCUUGUGUAUCAGGGUUGAUUAAUUAAAAUUUUUAUUUAAAAAUUUCUCGAAUUUAAAAGAGCUAAAUUAAUAUAUAUUUUAUUGUAAAAUAAAUAUUUUUAAUAUUAAUUUAGAAAUGAAACGUUAUUCGUUUUUAAAUAUAUCUAGUUUUUUUAGAAAAAAAUUUAAUUUUAUUUAAUUAAAUUAAUAAAUUAUCUAUUUAAUUUAUUAUUUAAUUAAUUUAAUAUUUAAGGGGAUGAGCUUUUAAAUAAAUUUUUAAAAAUUUAUUUAUUUAAAAAUAAUAUAUAGGAUUAGAAUUUUCUAUUUUUAGAAUAAUGUUAUAAUUGAUUAUUUAUAUUAUAUUAUUUAUAUAAAUUUUAAGUUUUUUAUAAAAAAUUUUUUUAUAAUUUUUGUUAAAAAGUUAUAAUGAUUAAAUUAGUAUAAUAUUUUGUAUUUUAUAUUAAAGGUUUAAUGUUAAUAUAAGGAAUUCGGCAAAAAAAUUUUUCACCUGUUUAUUAAAAACAUGUCCUUUUGAUAAUAAUUUAAGGUCUAGCCUGCCCAAUGAUAAAUAAUUAAAUGGCCGCAGUAUUUUGACUGUGCAAAGGUAGCAUAAUCAUUAGUUUUUUAAUUGAAAGCUGGAAUGAAUGGUUGGAUGAAAAAAUUUCUGUCUCAUAUUAAAUUUUUUAUAAUUUUAUUUUUAAGUUAAAAAGCUUAAAUUUAAUUAAAAGACGAGAAGACCCUAUAGAGUUUUAUAUUAAAAAUUAAAUAGAUUUUAAGAAUUAAGAUAUUUAUUUUAUUUUUAGUAUUUGAUUGGGGUGAUUGAAAAAUUAAAUAAACUUUUUUUAUAAUACAAUCAUUUAUUUAUGAGUUUUUGAUCCAAAUAUUUUGAUUAAAAGAUUAAAUUACCUUAGGGAUAACAGCGUAAUUUUUUUUGAGAGUUCAAAUCGAAAGAAAAGAUUGCGACCUCGAUGUUGGAUUAAAAUUAAAUUUUGGUGUAGAAGCUAAAAAUUUUAGGUCUGUUCGACCUUUAAAAUUUUACAUGAUCUGAGUUUAAACCGGUGUGAGCCAGGUUGGUUUCUAUCUUUAAUAAUUUAUAAUAUUUUAGUACGAAAGGACCAAAUAUUAAAUUAAAAAUUUAUUUUAAGAAUAAUAUU
Molecule: ribosomal RNA, 1286 nt
Filed under: Helota thoracica
Lineage: Eukaryota; Metazoa; Arthropoda; Insecta; Coleoptera; Helotidae
Description: 16S ribosomal RNA
Rfam family: Archaeal large subunit ribosomal RNA (bases 1045-1204)
Source: RNAcentral